CUCCUCCUCCACCCGCGGCCACGGAGACCGCGUGCUUCUCUUCCUCGCUCACUCCUCCUCGCGUCCUCGCAGGAGCGACUCCUCGCUGCCGCCGCUCCUCCGCGUCCUCGCCGGAGCCGACGCGGCCGUCCUCCUUCUUCCCCACCGCCGCGGCUGUCCUCCUUGCUCGCUCCUCCUCCGCCCCGCUGCCGGCGCCGCCGCGGCCGUCCUCCUCGCUCGCUCCUCCUCCGCCCCGCUGCCGGCGCUACGCCGCGUCCUCGCCGGAGCCGACUUCGGCCCCUUCUCCGGCGCCGGAACCGACCUCGACCUCGGCCCCUAGAGUACAAGUCCCAAAAAUCCUGUGUCUUUCCUUAAUCUUUUCUGUACGUGUGGGAAUUUUAAUCUUCUUCCUUCUUGAGCAUUGGCCUGUAGCAUUUGGUAGUUGAAAACACGACCUGAAAACAAGUGACCAUGAUUUUCCUUUUUUGUUGAAGUUAGUGAACAAUCGGAUAAUUACAUUGAGGUGAUCUUCUUUUGUGAACUUUUGAACAAAAUUUUUAACAACGGUUGCUGUAAAUUAUUUACUAUGGAAGCAAUUGUAUGAUGCUGCUGUUGCAAAUGAAAACUUGAAAAUGUGACUACAUUGCAGGGUCAUAGAAGCAAUUGUGCAGGGUCUGCCAAUUGUGCAAUUUUUUUGUUUGUCAGCUAGCAAUUGGUUGACAUGCAUAUCACGUUUUGUGACUUACUGAAAAUGUCUGCCAAACUGCUGCAUGUUACAUUUUGUGAAUUUUUCAAUGACUUCGAAUGUGGCUCAAAUACAUUCUGCCUUUGAUUCCACUUUAAUUCCCCUAUCGAUGUCAACAGCAUAUGACCAUGUCAACAAUCUCCACUGGUUGAAUUAUCUGCAGGAAAUGUACUUGAAUUAUAUCCAGGAACUAACUAAUAAUUCACAGCUGUUAUAAUUUGCAGCACGUGUGUUUGAUUUGAUGCAGGUGAUCGUCAAUAGGUCCAGUGGGCUGGAGCUACCAAUUCAUCUAGGUCUUGCCCUGGUAAUGCUCCACUUCCAAAAUUACCUGACAACUACAACUUCUUGGUGAUAGCUGCUGCGUUGAAAGAGUCUGGUCUUGGAUCUUCUUGGUUUUGACUUGACCAAAAGCAAUGGAUAGUCAGGCACAUAUUCCUUUAGAAGAAACAUCUCUGCAUGCUUUGCUUUGUUGAGUUGAUAAAGUGGGUCAAAACGGGAGUCCUAAUGUGCAAGCAGCUGGUCAAGAAGCUGAGGAUAUCCCAUUCCAAAAAAAAAGUGCCUUCUUUGUAUGUAAUCAAGUCAUGCAGACUUAAUCUUUGAUCAAGCCAUGGUCGGUAAGAAAUUAAUUCGCUAUUAUAUAUGCUAUUAUGAACACUAGCUUGACUUCUAUGCCUUGACUCUUCUGGACAGAUGACAGAUUUUGUUACUAUCUGAAUUUGUCGUAUGAAAACGACAAAUUUCAUUCUCACAGGCAUAAUUGUAGACUAUCAAUACUUUGAAAAGGUAGCUUUGUCCAGAGGUUCGUAGUAGGUAUAACAUUUUUUUUCUCGAAUACGGUAGGCUGAUAGCAUUUAUCUACUCAUUUUGGUGAUUUCAGUUAGUUGUGACAACAUGAGCAGCCGUCAAGAAGAAGAAAGAGCAUGAAUUCCAUGACUAAAUCUUGUGGUCUAUUUUGUAAAUCCAUUACCUCAGUAAAACUUUUAGCACCCGAUCUGCAUAUCAUAACUGAAUAUCCACCUAUUAUUGUGGCCUACCAUUUCAUUUUCCAAUUCUAUGCUCUAGAAGUUUGGAACUACUACAUGCACAAUUUCAUUUUUCUUACACUGAUUCUGCUGCAUGCAUUUUCUUAUAAAGAGACCUUUUCAAUGGCAUAAGUUUUCAUCUGAAUUCUCAAUGCAUCUUGCUUGAUGGAUCCAUUCAGCAUAAUCUGAUGGUACGAGGCAUGCACUUCAUAAGUAUGAUGCAAGUUAUGUUAGUUCGGGGUUUGCCGUUAAGAUCAUAGUUAGGGGGGAAAUAUUUUCAGUGUUGCUAGCUAGCUCGAGGGAAUGGUAUGUUUCGAAACAAACAAGCCAUCUGUAUUUGCAGUUUGAUAUUCUGGUUUGCCUCUAAAAUCUUGGGUACAUUCUUAGCAGAAAUGCUUUUCAUGCGUUUUAAGAAGAGAGCUUCCAUAUAUUUUAGUUAUAUCUGUAUUUGCUGUUCGAUAUUUUAUUUUCGCAAGUUCAGUUCAUGUAUGGCUUUAAGAAGUUUUGUGGGACAAAAUCUCUAUGUAUACUGUGUUUUUCUGAACAAGGUGAAAUAAUGUUGCUCCAUAUGGAGAUGGGAUAUGCCCUGUCUAGCUAAGUUAUAAGCUGUGAAUUGUAGAUUUGUAGAAGCUGUUCCAGAAUAGUUUACUCUUGUUUUACAAUGUCAAGUCUGGUUUAUGAGGUUUGUAUCUAAUUCAAAUUAAUGUUUUUUUUUGCGGGGACAAAUUAAUGUUUUUUUAGCAAACACAUAUGCUUCAGUUUUAUUAUCCUUGAGCAACCAAGUUUACAAUUGUGUCGUUUUGAGAAUGCAAUACUGCAAGAGUAUUUGACAAGACUUACUUGAUUUUCAUGGAUAUGCAGUCAGACACAGGAGUCUAGCACUUUGAGAUGUCCUUCUCUAGGAGUGUAAAUUGACACUUGACAGUUUUACGUAUUUUGUCAACUACUCAAACCAAUAUCAAUUUGUAUUGCAGAAUAUUUGUAAAAAAAACUCAAAUUUGCAUGUGAUUAGUGGUUGAUAAAAUUUUGCCUUCAGUUUAGUUCCUUUCAUGCUUGACACCGUUGAUUCUUGUUUAAAUUUUUACUUCUCUUCAAACUUUCACCUCUUAAAAUGUAUUCACUUCAGGAAGCUAACCAUCUUGCUGUCUGGAUUUUGAUAUGUAUCUGUUCAUGUAAUCCACAAAAAGACUUGGCCCAUAAGGCCACUGCUAUUAACAUUCUUGCCCCCCACAAUAAUAUGGAUAUAUUUCAUAGUUCAAAUUGAAGGCUUACACUAAACAAUUAUAGGCGUAUUCGGUGGAUGCAUGACUCAAGUUCAGUUUGGAUGGAAUGUACACCCUCUCUUCAAAUUCAGCGUGACUGUUUUUGUUCUCAGUAUCUAAGCUAAGACGUGCAAUGUAUUCUGCUCGGUUGUAUGAACUGGAGUACCGGCAUUUUUUAAAAAAAAAAUUAGUUUGCAUGGUAAUGGAAAUGAAGCCUGAUUUCAUCUC
Oryza sativa Japonica Group (Japanese rice) is the source of this 3236-nucleotide non-coding RNA. The record is from RefSeq and is a predicted model, not a curated record. NCBI's taxonomy places the organism in Eukaryota, Viridiplantae, Streptophyta, Magnoliopsida, Poales, Poaceae.